This 1396-nucleotide long non-coding RNA is filed under the name Nicotiana tabacum (common tobacco). RNAcentral's name for it is "long non-coding RNA (NTAB_LNC013365)". Lineage: Eukaryota; Viridiplantae; Streptophyta; Magnoliopsida; Solanales; Solanaceae. The record is from RNAcentral.
UUGCAGUUAACUAAGGAAAUGGAAACAAAGACCUGACAAGCUUGGAGACCAAAAUCAAUAGAAAAAUCGAAUUUCAAAGAAGAUCUGAAAGGGAGUUUGGUCGGUGAAAUGUUAAAAUUCGACUUCCUUCUUUCUCUGGGCUCGUAUGAAGCUGUGAAUGGACCGUGUGUUGCUGAACUCGCUAUUCCCGAUUUGUAAAGUUCUAUUCAUCUUCAUCGCUAUCCUUACUUGGUUAUUUGGGACUGUAUUACUGCCGCUAAGGUACUGUCUCCCAUUCUCGUUCUUGUAAUUCUCCUUUUGAUUCAAUAAAAAUAUGCUUACAAUGAUGAGGCAUUGUAUAAUUAUUUAUAUCCUUGUUACAUUCAGCAGUUCCUGUCAUUGUAGUGUAUCAUGAUUUGAUUUUAUAGCUAAAUAGAUUAAAUAUCUAUAUUUUCAAGUUGUCAUUUUUAAGAUGGUUCUGGAACCGGAUUAUUGGUUUGUCUAGUAUGCUACCAGAAUUUUUGGCUUAAAAUAUGGUAUACAGUGGGAGGCACUUUAGGGAUUUGCCCUAUGGUUUUGUUUAAUUAUCAAUUCCUUUUUGUAAGUAACUAAGUGUCAAGUUUUUUUUUAUUUGAGCUACAUGAUCCAUCUUGAUCAAAGUUAGUUUAUAAUGGACUGAGUUGGACCCUUUAGCAUAUGAGAAUUGGAAUGUGAGAAANNNNNNNNNNNNNNNNNNNNNNNNNGGAAAAUAAGAAGAGAAUUUGAAAGAUGGGGUUUUAAUUCAAAUUUUGGUUGUUCUUAUACCCAAAAUCUAGCCCAAACCACUCAAAGCCCAAAAAAAGACUUGCCCGACCCGAACCGACCCAAGACCCGAAUCCUUUCUUAUUAAACUGACCUAAUAACCUAGACUUAAGGAGAACAGACCUUACCCUGAGACCUUAGGAAGGUCUCAGGCUUUAGGAUUUCUUCUUCACAGGCUUUAGGAGACCCCUCCAUCUCCUCUCCAAACCAACAGCCAUGGCUUUAACCUCCUCACCACCAAAUCCUUCAGCACACGCUACUUAACUCCCCUUCUUCAUCCAUCACUUCCUCAUAGCCACCAAAUCGCCGGAAAUCCGACAUUCAUCAGCUCUCCCUUUCUCUUCAAUUAUUUUUUUUAUCUCAUCUCUAACCUUGGAGAAAUGAAAAUAAAGACCUGACAAGCUUGGAGACCAAAAGCAAUAGAAAAAUCGAAUUUCAAAGAAGAUCUGAAAGGGAGUUUGGUCGGUGAAAUGUUAAAAUUCGACUUCCUUCUUUCUCUGGGCUCGUAUGAAGCUGUGAAUGGACUGUGUGUUGCUGAACUCGCUAUUCCCGAUUUGUAAAGUUCUAAUCAUCUUCAUCGCUAUCCUUACUUGGUUAUUUGGGACUGUAUUNNNNN